This 497-nucleotide ribosomal RNA is filed under the name uncultured bacterium. RNAcentral describes it as "partial 16S ribosomal RNA". It matches the Rfam family "Bacterial small subunit ribosomal RNA", at positions 28 to 507 of the family's 1533-position model. The record is from RNAcentral.
GACGAACGCUGGCGGCGUGCCUAAUACAUGCAAGUUGAGCGCUGAAGGUUGGUACUUGUACCAACUGGAUGAGCAGCGAACGGGUGAGUAACGCGUGGGGAAUCUGCCUUUGAGCGGGGGACAACAUUUGGAAACGAAUGCUAAUACCGCAUAAAAACUUUAAACACAAGUUUUAAGUUUGAAAGAUGCAAUUGCAUCACUCAAAGAUGAUCCCGCGUUGUAUUAGCUAGUUGGUGAGGUAAAGGCUCACCAAGGCGAUGAUACAUAGCCGACCUGAGAGGGUGAUCGGCCACAUUGGGACUGAGACACGGCCCAAACUCCUACGGGAGGCAGCAGUAGGGAAUCUUCGGCAAUGGACGAAAGUCUGACCGAGCAACGCCGCGUGAGUGAAGAAGGUUUUCGGAUCGGAAAACUCUGGUGGUAGAGAAGAACGUUGGUGAGAGUGGAAAGCUCAUCAAGUGACGGUAACUACCCAGAAAGGGACGGCUAACUACGUG